GGGACGGUGGUGAAAUCGGUAAUCACUCCUCACUCAUAUUGAGGCUGUUGGGGGUUCAAAUCCCUCCCGUCCUACC
Molecule: transfer RNA, 76 nt
Filed under: Synergistetes bacterium ADurb.BinA166
Lineage: Bacteria; Thermotogati; Synergistota
Description: tRNA-Met
Rfam family: tRNA
About the family: Transfer RNA (tRNA) molecules are approximately 80 nucleotides in length.
Source: RNAcentral